Podarcis muralis (Common wall lizard) is the source of this 375-nucleotide non-coding RNA. NCBI's taxonomy places the organism in Eukaryota, Metazoa, Chordata, Lepidosauria, Squamata, Lacertidae. The record is from RefSeq and is a predicted model, not a curated record.
UCCAGCCCACCACAGCCCAGCCACCUUGCUGAACUGAGAAGAGAACACACCUACUUCUCGAUUCCAUAUUGGCAGAUGAGAAAACUACAUUUAUAUUCCACCCACCUGGAUGACUCUUGCCUAGGCCCCUCCCCUGCCCCAAAGCAAUGAGAGCAAAAGGCCGUCACCAGGGAAUGACACAGAGCUCAGCUACGCCUCCUAUGCCUCCCCUUCCACCCUCCCAUCUGUCCAUGUGACCUGAAUAGCAAGCCUGCACAGAGAUGAGAGCAUGCCAAAUCAGCUGUGCCCAGCUGAGAGCCUCAGAACUCUGCACCAGAAGCCAAAACCAAUAGGAUAUGCAGCAUCCUGCCUAGAGGCUGUGGUACCUACCUGAUC